AUUAAACGCUGGCGGCAUGCCUUACACAUGCAAGUCGAACGGCAGCACGGGGGCAACCUUGGUGGCGAGUGGCGAACGGGUGAGUAAAGCAUCGGAACUUGCCCUGGAGUGGGGGAUAACGUAGCGAAAGUUACGCUAAUACCGCAUAUUCUGUGAGCAGGAAAGCAGGGGAUCGCAAGACCUUGCGCUCUGGGAGCGGCCGAUGUCGGAUUAGCUAGUUGGUGGGGUAAAGGCCUACCAAGGCGACGAUCCGUAGCGGGUCUGAGAGGAUGAUCCGCCACACUGGGACUGAGACACGGCCCAGACUCCUACGGGAGGCAGCAGUGGGGAAUUUUGGACAAUGGGCGAAAGCCUGAUCCAGCCAUGCCGCGUGAGUGAAGAAGGCC
Molecule: ribosomal RNA, 386 nt
Filed under: uncultured bacterium
Lineage: Bacteria
Description: bacterial SSU rRNA
Rfam family: Bacterial small subunit ribosomal RNA
Source: RNAcentral